Molecule: long non-coding RNA, 484 nt
Filed under: Vulpes vulpes (red fox)
Lineage: Eukaryota; Metazoa; Chordata; Mammalia; Carnivora; Canidae
Description: lncRNA (ENSVVUG00000017408.1)
Source: RNAcentral
GGUUAACUGAAAUAUAUCAGAAACCUCACCCAGUUAUCAGGCUGGCAAAUAAUUUGACAGAUCCCACAAAUGGAACCGUUUUGAUUUACCUGUUCUGCUUCACAUGUAACACCUUCUCCGCCCGCCUCUCUGGCUCUUUGGCUGCUCCGCUGCUCCUGCCUUAAACAAUUGCAGCCUAAAGGAUUGAGACACUUGAAAGGCUGUCAUCAACUGUCCCCGUCAUCGCUCCCCUUUCUUCCCUGGGAAAGCAAGGAAUGUCAGGAUUGUUGCAGGUUUUCAUCGCCAUGUGUUCGACUUUAGUGUCCUCGGACCUAAGAAUUAUACACGUCAGCAUGUAUUUUUGCAGAUAAUGGGUGCAUUGUCUGGAGCUAUAGUGAAGUUCUCUCCGUGCUAUUCACAUGAUGGAUCAUCUCAUCACUGUCUCCUACUUCUAGCUACUGCUGGUGAGCCCAUCUACCUGGAGGCUUUCACUAGCUUUUGUGCA